RNAcentral lists this ribosomal RNA (496 nucleotides) under uncultured bacterium. RNAcentral describes it as "partial 16S ribosomal RNA". It matches the Rfam family "Bacterial small subunit ribosomal RNA", at positions 28 to 506 of the family's 1533-position model. The record is from RNAcentral.
GAUGAACGCUGGCGGCGUGCCUAAUACAUGCAAGUCGAGCGAACAGACGAGGAGCUUGCUCCUCUGACGUUAGCGGCGGACGGGUGAGUAACACGUGGAUAACCUACCUAUAAGACUGGGAUAACUUCGGGAAACCGGAGCUAAUACCGGAUAAUAUAUUGAACCGCAUGGUGCAAUAGUGAAAGACGGUUUUGCGGUCACUUAUAGAUGGAUCCGCGCCGCAUGAGAUAGUUGGUAAGGUAACGGCUUACCAAGGCAACGAUGCGUAGCCGACCUGAGGGGGUGUAGGCCCACACUGGAAGUGAGCCACGGUCCAGAAUCCGAGGGGCGGCAGCAGUAGGUAAUGUUCCGCAAUGGGCGAAAGCCUGCCGGAGCAACGCAGGGUGAGUGAUGAAGGUCUUCGGAUCGUAAAACUGUGUUAUUGGGGAAGAACAAAUGUGUAAGUAACGAUGCACGUCUGGAGGGAACCUAUACAGAAGGCCACGGUUAACUACGG